GACGAACGCUGGCGGCGUGCUUAACACAUGCAAGUCGAACGGAAAGGCCCUGCUUUUGUGGGGUGCUCGAGUGGCGAACGGGUGAGUAACACGUGAGUAACCUGCCCUUGACUUUGGGAUAACUUCAGGAAACUGGGGCUAAUACCGGAUAGGAGCUCCUGCUGCAUGGUGGGGGUUGGAAAGUUUCGGCGGGUGGGGGUGGACUCGCGGCUUAUCAGCUUGUUGGUGGGGUAGGGGGUUUCCAAGGUUUUGACGGGUAGCCGGCCUGGGAGGGUGACCGGCCAAAUUGGGACUGGGAUACGGCCCAGACUCCUACGGGAGGCAAGAGUGGGGAAUAUUGCACAAUGGGCGGAAGCCUGAUGCAAGAACGCCGCGUGCGGGAUGACGGCCUUCCGGUUGUAAACCGAUUUCACCUGUGACGGAGCGUGGGUGACGGUAAUGGGUAAAGAAGCACCGGCUAACUACGUG
This 468-nucleotide ribosomal RNA is filed under the name uncultured bacterium. Its description in RNAcentral is "partial 16S ribosomal RNA". It matches the Rfam family "Bacterial small subunit ribosomal RNA", at positions 28 to 507 of the family's 1533-position model. The record is from RNAcentral.